AACGAACGCUGGCGGCAUGCCUAACACAUGCAAGUCGAACGGACCCUUCGGGGUUAGUGGCGGACGGGUGAGUAACACGUGGGAACGUGCCUUUAGGUUCGGAAUAGCUCCUGGAAACGGGUGGUAAUGCCGAAUGUGCCCUUCGGGGGAAAGAUUUAUCGCCUUUAGAGCGGCCCGCGUCUGAUUAGCUAGUUGGUGAG
RNAcentral lists this ribosomal RNA (200 nucleotides) under uncultured bacterium. RNAcentral's name for it is "partial 16S ribosomal RNA". It matches the Rfam family "Bacterial small subunit ribosomal RNA", at positions 29 to 256 of the family's 1533-position model. The record is from RNAcentral.